RNAcentral lists this ribosomal RNA (253 nucleotides) under uncultured bacterium. Its description in RNAcentral is "partial 16S ribosomal RNA". It matches the Rfam family "Bacterial small subunit ribosomal RNA", at positions 524 to 776 of the family's 1533-position model. The record is from RNAcentral.
UACGUAGGGAGCAAGCGUUGUUCGGAUUUACUGGGCGUAAAGGGCUUGUAGGCGGCCAACUAAGUCCGACGUGAAAUCCCCAGGCUUAACCUGGGAACUGCGUCGGAUACUGGAUGGCUUGAAUUCGGGAGAGGGAUGCAGAAUUCCAGGUGUAGCGGUGAAAUGCGUAGAUAUCAGGAGGAACACCGGUGGCGAAGGCGGUUCUCUGGGCAUUACCUGACGCUGAGGAGCGAAAGUGUGGGGAGCGAACAGG